This 108-nucleotide small nuclear RNA is filed under the name Fukomys damarensis (Damara mole-rat). The record is from RNAcentral. Lineage: Eukaryota; Metazoa; Chordata; Mammalia; Rodentia; Bathyergidae.
GGGCUUACUUCGGCAGCAUAUAUAUUAAAAUUGGAAUGAUGUAGAGAUUAAAUACAAUGUCCUUUGUACAAAGAUAACAUGCAAAUUUUUGUAGCACUCCAUAUUUUU